Molecule: non-coding RNA, 223 nt
Filed under: Bacillus coahuilensis
Lineage: Bacteria; Bacillati; Bacillota; Bacilli; Caryophanales; Bacillaceae
Description: T-box sequence
Rfam family: T-box leader
About the family: Uncharged tRNA acts as the effector for transcription antitermination of genes in the T-box leader family. T-boxes are found upstream of many aminoacyl-tRNA synthetase genes and some amino acid biosynthetic genes usually in Gram-positive bacteria.
Source: RNAcentral
ACGUCUGCGUUGAAUGGGAAGAGUACUAUUAUGACGAAAUGUAGCGAGCUAGGGAUGGUGUGAGCCUAGUUUUAAGGAUAAUAGGAAAAUCACCCAGGAGCACUUUCAGUGAACGGUCCACUUAGUAGCUUAAAGCGAGUUAUUCACGUUACGAAUUCCAAGGAGAAUAGCGCGUAUGCUAUUUACUAGGGUGGUACCGCGGGAAAACCUUCUCGUCCCUUUU